GAUGAACGCUGGCGGCGUGCCUAAUACAUGCAAGUCGAACGCUGGAGAUCUAGCUUGCUAGAUCGAAGGAGUGGCGAACGGGUGAGUAAUACAUAAGCAACCUACCCACGAAGACUGGGAUAAUCUCUGGAAACGGGGACUAAUACCGGAUAGGUAAUCGGAAGGCAUCUUCUGAUUAUUAAAGGUUAAAAACACUGGUGGAUGGGCUUAUGGCGCAUUAGUUAGUUGGUGAGGUAACGGCCCACCAAGACGAUGAUGCGUAGCCGGCCUGAGAGGGUGAACGGCCACAUUGGGACUGAGACACGGCCCAGACUCCUACGGGAGGCAGCAGUAGGGAAUUUUCGGCAAUGGGGGAAACCCUGACCGAGCAACGCCGCGUGAGUGAUGACGGCCUUCGGGUUGUAAAGCUCUGUUGUAAGGGAAGAACGGUAGAUAGAGAAUAUCUAAAUGACGGUACCUUACCAGAAAGCCACGGCUAACUACGUGCCAGCAGCCGCGGUAAUACGUAGGUGGCGAGCGUUAUCCGGAAUUAUUGGGCGUAAAGGGUGCGUAGGCGGCCUGUUAAGUAAGUGGUUAAAUUGUUGGGCUCAACCCAAUCCAGCCACUUAAACUGGCAGGCUAGAGUAUUGGAGAGGCAAGUGGAAUUCCAUGUGUAGCGGUAAAAUGCGUAGAUAUAUGGAGGAACACCAGUGGCGAAGGCGGCUUGCUAGCCAAAGACUGACGCUCAUGCACGAAAGCGUGGGGAGCAAAUAGG
RNAcentral lists this ribosomal RNA (754 nucleotides) under uncultured Bulleidia sp. RNAcentral's name for it is "bacterial SSU rRNA". It matches the Rfam family "Bacterial small subunit ribosomal RNA", at positions 28 to 776 of the family's 1533-position model. The record is from RNAcentral. Lineage: Bacteria; Bacillati; Bacillota; Erysipelotrichia; Erysipelotrichales; Erysipelotrichaceae.